Molecule: long non-coding RNA, 995 nt
Organism: Pristis pectinata (smalltooth sawfish)
Lineage: Eukaryota; Metazoa; Chordata; Chondrichthyes; Rhinopristiformes; Pristidae
Exons: 4
Source: RefSeq, a predicted model, not a curated record
GGGCAACCUGCGGGUCGGGUCCCAUCGGUGGAAAGGGGAACAGAUCAGGCGUUAAACGGUGGAGCAGGGUCGAGAGACUGAAUGGCGUCCCGCUAAUCCCAGUUCGCGAAGAAUCUAGAGUUGUAAUUGAACCACUGCACUAUCACAAGACUAGAAGCUAAUUUCUUGACCGGAGAGAUGGAAGUGGGUGAGAGUGACUGGCCUUGAUGUCAAGAUUAUAACAUAUCCUUGUUUGAUGACAAAGCUACGUGGAAGUGAGCUGUCCAAAAGGUGGAACAGUUUGCAAAGGGAUAUAGACAGUUUAGGUGGGAGGUGUUCCGGACUAGGUGAAUGUUCCUUUAAGAUAGAGCGUAGUGGUGUGUGUGUGUGUGUGUGUGUGUGUGUGUGUGUGUGUGUGUGUGUGUGUGUGUGUGUGUGGCGUGCUUACGUCAACAGAAGAUAAAGGACGUAAUGACGUUGUUGAAGAAGUCAGUCAGAGGAGAGAGAGAGAAAAGGGAGAGAGACACCAGCCUGCUAGUUUCUUUAUCGAUGGAUGAGAAACAAUAACUGUGUCUGUUACUACAAUCCACGUAUGGAAAUUGGGAGUAAUCCGGUGGAGUUCACUUUGUUGCUGACCUGUAGAAGGAAACAGGUAUUUGUGUGGACGACCACGAUUCGGAUGCUUUUCGGGGUGAGGAAGUCACUACCGAGUAAACACUGAGGUGUCAUUUGGGUUCCAUCGUGGAACAUUUGGAUUUCGUAAUUACUCUUUCUAUGUUCUCUCUACAUCUAUGUCUUAUCUUCAGAUAACGGUGGUUGUUGAAGAAGCCUUUGCUCAUGUUUCACCUUAUGGCUUGUGGAACUGAACUUUAAUAACCAUUCAUCAACUUGGAGUUUGGGACUUUGCCACACACACAUGAUGAGUUUAGUUUUGGGGUUAAUGUUCAACGUUUAACAUUUUUACUUCUAACAUUCUAACAUUUUUACUUUUAUUUUUCUUAUUAUCAUAAGUAGUG